This 334-nucleotide unclassified non-coding RNA is filed under the name soil metagenome. RNAcentral describes it as "partial contains 5.8S ribosomal RNA, internal transcribed spacer 2, and large subunit ribosomal RNA". The stretch from base 1 to 120 matches the Rfam family "5.8S ribosomal RNA", at positions 35 to 154 of the family's 154-position model. The record is from RNAcentral.
GAUGAAGAACGCAGCGAAAUGCGAUAAGUAAUGUGAAUUGCAGAAUUCAGUGAAUCAUCGAAUCUUUGAACGCACAUUGCGCCCGCCAGUAUUCUGGCGAGCAUGCCUUUUCGAGCGUCAUUUCAACCAUCAAGCCCCAGGCUUGUGUUGGAGCCCUGCGGCUGCCGCAGCCUCCCAAAACCAGUGGCGGGCUCGCUAUCACACCGAGUGCAGUAGUUUACUCUUCGCUCAGGGCGUGUGGCGGGUGCUAGCCGUGAAACCCCCAACUUCUCAAGGUUGACCUCGGAUCAGGUAGGAAUACCCGCUGAACUUAAGCAUAUCAAUAAGCGGAGGA